GGGGUUGACUGGAUUUGACAGCAGGCCGAGAUGGUACGUAAGCAUGCGGAGCGACGGCUGUGGGCUCCAUAAUCUCGUCGGUCGACAAUUUAAUUGGCGAAAACACUUACGCUCUCGCUGCCUAAACGAAGUACAGUAGUUUACUGGCUUUAUCCCUCUAUCAGGUAGGGGGACGAGACAUCGCUCCAAGGAUGUUGUUCCGAAUCUGAGGGAUUAGCGGUGCAGGUAAAUCGGAAAUAGUCGUACGGAAGCCUCGGCUGGGCGAUGAAGAUUUAGAGGAUAAGGCUGUAAUUGGUGGCUUGGGUCUUGUUACAGCACGAAAAUGAAGGCCAAGAUAAGCAUGUAGAAAGCGUAUGGUUUCCCUGUUUGGACGAGGGUUCGAUUCCCUCCAGCUCCAC
Molecule: transfer-messenger RNA, 398 nt
Filed under: uncultured Prevotella sp.
Lineage: Bacteria; Pseudomonadati; Bacteroidota; Bacteroidia; Bacteroidales; Prevotellaceae
Rfam family: transfer-messenger RNA
About the family: Bacterial tmRNA, also known as 10Sa RNA or SsrA, is named for its dual tRNA and mRNA-like properties.
Source: RNAcentral